RNAcentral lists this long non-coding RNA (793 nucleotides) under Pan troglodytes (chimpanzee). RNAcentral describes it as "long non-coding RNA NONPTRT015184". Lineage: Eukaryota; Metazoa; Chordata; Mammalia; Primates; Hominidae. The record is from RNAcentral.
UUGUGAGACUUCCCCUUGUGAUCAUACCAGAUUACAGAGGGGUAUUGAUUUGCCUUGUCCCUGCCCCCACCAUCACAGUGUGUCCCUGUCCAGUGUUGGUGCUGUGUGGCAUUGCUUGUGUCCAUAGGAGUCCAUCAAGGCAGAGCGGCAGAGCGGCAGAGCGGCAAGGCAGGUCAGCUUCCAGCUCUUCCAGGCUGCAUGUCCCCCUCAAUAUCCUUUCAACCCAAUGGAAAUGGAUUGAAAGAGUGAAAGUCACUGGUCUCAAAGAAUCUAUGGAAUUUAGCAUUUUGAAAAUCACAUAGCAAUUUUGGGUAGGUAUUCACAUGCACUAAAAAACCAGGCAAACAUCCGACUCCCAGGAUAAAGUGACUGAGAGCAGUAGAAGACUUGUUGAGCCUUAAGGAAUAAGAGGAAAAUUAUGUUAUGAAGUGCAGGAACAGCACAGACCCAGACGAGGGGAUGCAACCCGGAGCCAGUAACCCGGCGCCUCCUCCUCCCCAGGGCGCAGCGCUGGCUGAUCCCCGGAUACCGUGAUCACACGUCCCAGGUCCUGAGAGCACCUCAUAGGUAGACUUUUGGGACUUUUGGGACGCAGCACUUGAAGAGAGGUUUACCUAAACUUUCCUCCUGGGAGCCUGUGAUCAUUUGAAAGUAACAGAAGAAAGUUGUCAGGCUGAGGAAAGUUUCAACAGGCACUUGGUGAGAAUGGGAAGCAUCCGUUCAUUGCGAAAUCGCGGGGACAGAGGAGGAAUUCACGGGAUCAGAGCACUGAGAAACUCCAGAGGCUUCUGGU